Molecule: ribosomal RNA, 488 nt
Filed under: unidentified oral bacterium SH11
Lineage: Bacteria
Description: bacterial SSU rRNA
Rfam family: Bacterial small subunit ribosomal RNA
Source: RNAcentral
AUACAUGCAAGUAGAACGCUGAAGGAAGGAGCUUGCUCUUUCCGGAUGAGUUGCGAACGGGUGAGUAACGCGUAGGUAACCUGCCUGGUAGCGGGGGAUAACUAUUGGAAACGAUAGCUAAUACCGCAUAACAGUAGAUAUCGCAUGAUAUUUGCUUGAAAGGUGCAACUGCACCACUACCAGAUGGACCUGCGUUGUAUUAGCUAGUUGGUGAGGUAACGGCUCACCAAGGCAACGAUACAUAGCCGACCUGAGAGGGUGAUCGGCCACACUGGGACUGAGACACGGCCCAGACUCCUACGGGAGGCAGCAGUAGGGAAUCUUCGGCAAUGGACGGAAGUCUGACCGAGCAACGCCGCGUGAGUGAAGAAGGUUUUCGGAUCGUAAAGCUCUGUUGUAAGAGAAGAACGAGUGUGAGAGUGGAAAGUUCACACUGUGACGGUAUCUUACCAGAAAGGGACGGCUAACUACGUGCCAGCAGCCGCGGU